UACAGAGGGUGCAAGCGUUGUUCGGAAUUAUUGGGCGUAAAGGGCGCGUAGGCGGUGCCACAAGUCACCUGUGAAAUCUCCGGGCUUAACUCGGAGCCUGCAGGCGAAACUGUGGUGCUGGAGUGUGGGAGAGGUGCGUGGAAUUCCCGGUGUAGCGGUGAAAUGCGUAGAUAUCAAGAGGAACACCUGAGGUGAAGACGGGUUGCUGGGCUGACACUGACGCUGAGGCGCGAAAGCGUGGGGAGCGAACAGG
Molecule: ribosomal RNA, 253 nt
Filed under: uncultured bacterium
Lineage: Bacteria
Description: partial 16S ribosomal RNA
Rfam family: Bacterial small subunit ribosomal RNA
Source: RNAcentral